Molecule: ribosomal RNA, 464 nt
Filed under: Vreelandella stevensii
Lineage: Bacteria; Pseudomonadati; Pseudomonadota; Gammaproteobacteria; Oceanospirillales; Halomonadaceae
Description: partial 16S ribosomal RNA
Rfam family: Bacterial small subunit ribosomal RNA
Source: RNAcentral
CCUACGGGAGGCAGCAGUGGGGAAUAUUGGACAAUGGGGGGAACCCUGAUCCAGCCAUGCCGCGUGUGUGAAGAAGGCCCUCGGGUUGUAAAGCACUUUCAGUGAGGAAGAACGCCUGGUGGUUAAUACCCAUCAGGAAAGACAUCACUCACAGAAGAAGCACCGGCUAACUCCGUGCCAGCAGCCGCGGUAAUACGGAGGGUGCGAGCGUUAAUCGGAAUUACUGGGCGUAAAGCGCGCGUAGGUGGCUUGAUAAGCCGGUUGUGAAAGCCCCGGGCUCAACCUGGGAACGGCAUCCGGAACUGUCAAGCUAGAGUGCAGGAGAGGAAGGUAGAAUUCCCGGUGUAGCGGUGAAAUGCGUAGAGAUCGGGAGGAAUACCAGUGGCGAAGGCGGCCUUCUGGACUGACACUGACACUGAGGUGCGAAAGCGUGGGUAGCAAACAGGAUAGAUACCCUAGUAGUC